This 492-nucleotide ribosomal RNA is filed under the name uncultured bacterium. RNAcentral's name for it is "partial 16S ribosomal RNA". It matches the Rfam family "Bacterial small subunit ribosomal RNA", at positions 29 to 507 of the family's 1533-position model. The record is from RNAcentral.
AGUGAACGCUGGCGGUAGGCCUAACACAUGCAAGUCGAACGGCAGCACAGUAAGAGCUUGCUCUUCCGGGUGGCGAGUGGCGGACGGGUGAGGAAUACAUCGGAAUCUACUUUUUCGUGGGGGAUAACGUAGGGAAACUUACGCUAAUACCGCAUACGACCUACGGGUGAAAGCAGGGGAUCUUCGGACCUUGUGCGAUUGAAUGAGCCGAUGUCGGAUUAGCUAGUUGGCGGGGUAAAGGCCCACCAAGGCGACGAUCCGUAGCUGGUCUGAGAGGAUGGUCGGCCACCCUGGAACUGAGACACGGUCCAGACUCCUACGAGAGGCAGCAGUGGGGAAUAUGGGACAAUGGGCGCAAGCCUGAUCCAGCCAUACCGCGUGGGUGAAGAAGGCGUUCGGGUUGUAAAGCCCUUUUGUUGGGAAAGAAAAGCAGCAGGUUAAUACCCCGCUGUUCUGACGGUACCCAAAGAAUAAGCACCGGCUAACUUCGUG